This is a transfer RNA of Neotoma lepida (desert woodrat), 73 nucleotides long. It matches the Rfam family "tRNA". From Rfam's summary of the family: Transfer RNA (tRNA) molecules are approximately 80 nucleotides in length. Their secondary structure includes four short double-helical elements and three loops (D, anti-codon, and T loops). The record is from Rfam. Lineage: Eukaryota; Metazoa; Chordata; Mammalia; Rodentia; Cricetidae.
GGAGAAAUGGCUCAAAGGUUAAGAGCACUGACUGCUCUUCCAGAGGACCUGGGUUCAAUUCCCAGUAUCCACA